Molecule: ribosomal RNA, 1440 nt
Filed under: Escherichia coli
Lineage: Bacteria; Pseudomonadati; Pseudomonadota; Gammaproteobacteria; Enterobacterales; Enterobacteriaceae
Description: bacterial SSU rRNA
Rfam family: Bacterial small subunit ribosomal RNA
Source: RNAcentral
AGUACUAGGCUACCUGCAGUCGAACGGUAACAGGAAGAAGCUUGCUUCUUUGCUGACGAGUGGCGGACGGGUGAGUAAUGUCUGGGAAACUGCCUGAUGGAGGGGGAUAACUACUGGAAACGGUAGCUAAUACCGCAUAACGUCGCAAGACCAAAGAGGGGGACCUUCGGGCCUCUUGCCAUCGGAUGUGCCCAGAUGGGAUUAGCUAGUAGGUGGGGUAACGGCUCACCUAGGCGACGAUCCCUAGCUGGUCUGAGAGGAUGACCAGCCACACUGGAACUGAGACACGGUCCAGACUCCUACGGGAGGCAGCAGUGGGGAAUAUUGCACAAUGGGCGCAAGCCUGAUGCAGCCAUGCCGCGUGUAUGAAGAAGGCCUUCGGGUUGUAAAGUACUUUCAGCGGGGAGGAAGGGAGUAAAGUUAAUACCUUUGCUCAUUGACGUUACCCGCAGAAGAAGCACCGGCUAACUCCGUGCCAGCAGCCGCGGUAAUMCGGAGGGUSCAAGCGUUAAUCGGAAUUACUGGGCGUAAAGCGCACGCAGGCGGUUUGUUAAGUCAGAUGUGAAAUCCCCGGGGCUCAACCUGGGAACUGCAUCUGAUWCUGGCAAGCUUGAGUCUCGUAGAGGGGGGUAGAAUUCCAGGUGUAGCGGUGAAAUGCGUAGAGAUCUGGAGGAAUACCGGUGGCGAAGGCGGCCCCCUGGACGAAGACUGACGCUCAGGUGCGAAAGCGUGGGGAGCAAACAGGAUUAGAUACCCUGGUAGUCCACGCCGUAAACGAUGUCGACUUGGAGGUUGUGCCCUUGAGGCGUGGCUUCCGGAGCUAACGCGUUAAGUCGACSGCCUGGGGAGUACGGCCGCAAGGUUAAAACUCAAAUGGAAUUGACGGGGGCCCGCACAAGCGGKGGGAGCAUGGUGGUUUAAUUCGAUGCAACGCGAAGAACCUUACCUGGUCUUGACAUCCACGGAAGUUUUCAGAGAUGAGAAUGUGCCUUCGGGAACCGUGAGACAGGUGCUGCAUGGCUGUCGUCAGCUCGUGUUGUGAAAUGUUGGGUUAAGUCCCGCAACGAGCGCAACCCUUAUCCUUUGUUGCCAGCGGUCCGGCCGGGAACUCAAAGGAGACUGCCAGUGAUAAACUGGAGGAAGGUGGGGAUGACGUCAAGUCAUCAUGGCCCUUACGACCAGGGCUACACACGUGCUACAAUGGCGCAUACAAAGAGAAGCGACCUCGCGAGAGCAAGCGGACCUCAUAAAGUGCGUCGUAGUCCGGAUUGGAGUCUGCAACUCGACUCCAUGAAGUCGGAAUCGCUAGUAAUCGUGGAUCAGAAUGCCACGGUGAAUACGUUCCCGGGCCUUGUACACACCGCCCGUCACACCAUGGGAGUGGGUUGCAAAAGAAGUAGGUAGCUUAACCUUCGGGAGGGCGCUACCACUUGUAUCGUG